UGGGUGGCCUGAGGAAGAGGGAGGGAGGUGGACGGAAGGGGCCCGGGCGUUGCUGACGCCACUGCCCCCACCAUUUUGGAGAGGCCUCUCCGGGGGACUGAGGGAGGGCCCGAGCCCCACCCACUCGUCUUCUGCUUACGUCCCCGGAAAGUCUCUAGUUUGGUGGCCAUCAGGCCUCUUGGCAUUCGUUCUGUGCCUUACCCUUCCCCUGCUUUCUGACCUUGAACAGAUCGUUGUAUAAAGUGAGGCUCAUAAUUUGUACCUCACAGAGUUGUUGGGAGGUCCCCGACAAAGGAAGGCACUUGAUCACCCGGAACCCAGAAAACGCAACGCAAAAUGGAGAAGAGUUGUUUUGAUAGUGUGAUCUCAGGGGACCCAGAAGUCCGUUGGAUCUCGGUCUCUCCUACAGCCACCUCCUGUCCCAUUUAAUGGCAAUAAGAGCCCAAAGAGGUUUUUAGUUUGGGGAUUUUUUUCAUGGGGAGCGGGGAUUCUAGACAGGGUUCUCGGUAUACUGAAAUACUCUAGGUAGAGCAGGCUGGCCUCAAACUUGGCCCAGAGAAGUUUUUUAAGAACAUGGGCCCAGGAAGUAUAUUAGUACCUGUGGAACCACAAAUGUCCUGGAAAGUGAAACCCUGGGAUUUGUGUUUUCUCCUUGGUUUUUGUUUUUUGUUUUUUUUUGUUUUUUGUUAACUUUAAUUUUUAGAACAGAAUCUCCCGUUGUAUGCCAAGCUGUCCUGGAAAUCACCGGGUAGCACAGGCCGUCCCCUAAACUCAAGGCAGCCUUUUCGUCUCAGCCUCAUUCAUGACUGCUGAGCUUACAGAUGUUAAGUCACUACGAGGCUGUUUCUCACAUGGUCACUAAGGUUUUUUAGAGCAGUUUGGUUUUCUCUGCACUUGCUUGCCUUAGUGAAUCCUGCACAUGUAAGCGUUCAAACGUCACCUUUUCUGUCAUGCAUUUACGAGCUACUGUACUGCUGUAGCUAUUGAAACUGUUCCUGUUCAGAUGGAAGGAAGGGUAUCCAGGGAUUCGGAAGGCCCAGGAACCGC
This 1047-nucleotide long non-coding RNA is filed under the name Mus musculus (house mouse). Its description in RNAcentral is "long non-coding RNA chr4:126202877-126203924". Lineage: Eukaryota; Metazoa; Chordata; Mammalia; Rodentia; Muridae. The record is from RNAcentral.